RNAcentral lists this non-coding RNA (215 nucleotides) under uncultured Desulfatiglans sp. The record is from RNAcentral. Lineage: Bacteria; Pseudomonadati; Thermodesulfobacteriota; Desulfobacteria; Desulfatiglandales; Desulfatiglandaceae.
GGAAGAUUCGCACGUUCAGGUGCCCGCAAGGGCUUAAAAGGGAACUCCCUUGAAAACGGGGACGGACCCGCCGCUGUGACUCCGCUCCUUUUCCCCUAUCCCGCAGGAAAAGGAAACCUCCCGGCCCAGAGAAGCCACUGUCCGAUGCCUUCGGAUGGGAAGGCCGCCGAGAGGGCGGAGGAGUCAGAAGACCUGCCUGAACAGGGGUACAAGAC